GAUGAAGAACGCAGCGAAAUGCGAUAAGUAGUGUGAAUUGCAGAAUUCAGUGAAUCAUCGAAUCUUUGAACGCACAUUGCGCCCUCUGGUAUUCCGGAGGGCAUGCCUGUUCGAGCGUCAUUUCGACCCUCAAGCAUUGCUUGGUGUUGGGGCACCGCCUGUAAAAGGGCGGGCCCUGAAAUCUAGUGGCGAGCUCGCCAGGACCCCGAGCGUAGUAAUUAUAUUUCGUUCUGGAAGGCCCUGGCGGUGCCCUGCCGUUAAACCCCCAACUUCUGAAAAUUUGACCUCGGAUCAGGUAGGAAUACCCGCUGAACUUAAGCAUAUCAAUAAGCGGAGGA
Molecule: unclassified non-coding RNA, 338 nt
Filed under: soil metagenome
Description: partial contains 5.8S ribosomal RNA, internal transcribed spacer 2, and large subunit ribosomal RNA
Rfam family: 5.8S ribosomal RNA (bases 1-120)
Source: RNAcentral